UGCAAAGAGCCGGCUUGGAGACCAGAUCCGGAUAAGUGGGAGGAUUUGAUCCAGCAUCAGUGGAGAGCAACAAGCGGCCGUGAAAAUCAGAUCUGCAUUCUCUUUUCAGAUGUGAAUCGCUGGUUGAUUCUGAAUGAACGCUUUGUGAUGAAGCCGUGCUGAUGGUUGGGUGAAUGAGCUCCAAAGAGGAUUGAGCAGAUGUAUUUGCAGCGUGUGGAUAUAUUGGUACUUGGAAAGAAAUAAAGAGUGUUUUUUUAA
Molecule: long non-coding RNA, 258 nt
Organism: Alligator mississippiensis (American alligator)
Lineage: Eukaryota; Metazoa; Chordata; Crocodylia; Alligatoridae
Exons: 2
Source: RefSeq, a predicted model, not a curated record